UCCCGUGGGAGACCGCAGCGCCAUAAAUGUGUGUAGAGAAAAAGAAACAGAUGACUUGUUUUUACGAUGGCUCUUUGUUAAAGUGGUAUUUUAUGUAUGUAAUCCUUGGUAAAGAAACUAGGUUGCUAUUAAAAAAAAAACUAUUGUAGUUUUAGCUUUACUUUCUAUUUAGUUUUUUCUAGUUUCUAAUAGCAUUGAUUCGAAAUAGAGACUCAUUUUAGGAAGAGAAAUUGUAUUCCAAAUUCCCAGAUACUUAAUAAUGGGAAAGAAGAGAACUCAUUUUUCUCUCCGGUUUGAUUUGGGGAAGGAGUUUGAGUGAAGCAAGUUUUGUUUCUUGGUUUCUGUUCACACUGAAGAAAAACAAAAGGUCUCCAAAGAGGACUUUUGAAGAGUAAGACCCAGUGAUAAACCUCCAUGGACUGGUGUCUGCUCUGCUGAUCUACUUACCUUACUCUCAGUAUAGAAAGGAUUUCUCUCUGGUUGUUUGCAACAAAAUGGAUGAAGCUAGAAAGCAUCAUACUUAGUGAAAUAAACCAGUCCCAAAAGGACAAAUACCAUAUGUUCUCCCUGGCCUGUGAUAUCUAAUAGAGCACCUAAAAGGUAAUCUAUAGAAGUGAAAUUGACACUUUGAGAAGCAAUGACUUUGAAUAGCCCUUGUCUCGACUGUUGAGGAAGUUUUUUUUCUUUUUCCAUACUAUUUGUUGACCUCUACUUAACAUAGAGUUAGUUAAUCAUGUGUGUAUAAAGUUAAUUGAAAAUAGAUGUUAGUAAAAAAUAAGAAUGGGAAUAGGAGAGGGAGGAGGCAGAGAAGUGGUAGAGUAGGUGGGAGGGCAGGUAUAGUGGGAAGAAUCACCAUGUUCCUAAAGUUGUAGUUAUGAAAUAUAUGAAGUUUGUAUUCUUUAAAUAAAAGGUUUCUGGGGAAAGUAAAGAAAGGCUUUCUGAAAAAUGUUCCUACUCCAAGGCCAUACUAUGUUUGAAAUAUGAAUUAGAGCAGCUGCUGUUCUGCCAUUUGCAUUUGGGCUUUGGAGUCUGCUCUUGAGGAUACUCAGUAAAACAUUGGAGUCCAGGACUCUACAUUUUUAGAUUAUCCCCCAUGACCUGGGUGAAGGGAUUGAGGAAAUAUAACAAUGAGGACAUAGAAUGAUGAACCUGGUGACCGUUGUGGUACUUUCAUCUAUCCUGCUCACCUCUGGGUCUCCAUUCUGAACUCCACUAUAACUUAGGUAUCAGGGAAGAGAAAGUCUAAAGUCUUUCCUAGAGGCCAACUGUUGCCCACUUUGUGGGGAGGCUGCUUCACUAGUAGCUGAGUUGACAUGACACUAAGUCAGAGACACAGGACAGCUCAUCAACCAGAACUAACGUACUCAUUAGCAUGUUACCAGAUGCUGACAAAUGUUAAUGUCUGCUAUCAAAAACCCUCUUAGAUGUCAACCAUAUCCUUGUAUCUGGGGGCAGCUAAUAAGAUCAGCCAAACAGUGCCUAGAAUUAGAGUAUCUGUGCUGGAAUGGAUGCAUAAUCUCAAUCUUUGGCUUGAUUGUCCCAGUUAUUAAUGGUGGUAAAAAGACUUAGAUGAUGGUAAUCUGAGGGUUACCUAAAUUGUCUUGGUGUCAGCUGUUUUCCUUCCUUUCCUUCCCAUCCUUCCUUUUCUCUUUCACCCUCUCCCACCACUUCGUGUAACCUUUAGUGUACAUGAGGUCAAAAUAUUGUGUUUUUCCCCUUUAUUUCUAGUCAUUUUAUUAUGGAAAUAGGCUAACACAAACCCCAUCACCUUGGUCUUCCCACCCACCUCCUCUCUUUCCCCAUUGGAGAGUUGUUUUUUAAUGAAAAAAAUCAAAAUACUGUUUUAUGGUGGGCCUGUAACCUAUGAUAUGGAUGAUUUCCAUGUUUAGAAAUACUCUUAGGUAACUUGAAGAUAGAAGAUGAGAAAAAUUACUGAGUUCAUUUUUAAAUUUUGCAUAAUAGGCUUCCUUUUAGUUACCCAUUCCUAUUUUCAUGCAGGAUAUUAAGCUGUGCUUCCAUGUUAAUGAUAAUCUUGCCACUUAGAGCGUUUGCAGACCUACAUGUGGAAAGAUGUGUUGAAGAACCUUUUAUGAUUUCCUAAAAAGAAAUUGUUUUCAUUAUUCAGUCCACAUGUGAAAAAGUCUAUUGUAUUAGUAAUGUAUUAUACCACCACAUAAAUGUUUAGAGGAUGAAUGGCAAUCUUAAUAAAACAGAAGAUGGCUUUCAUAUCUUAGUUAUCCUUAGGGAAGGGAAUGAAUAAUUUGACACACCUCUUGUUACCCAUUGAUCAGCCAAAGUCAAUUAGAUAUCCUGCAGAAUCUGUCCAUUGUUCCAUGAAUGGAUGUAGAGAAGAGCAUCAUAACACUGUGGGUAGCUUGAAGGAAGUCAGAAUGCAAAAGAAAUGAGUAAGACAGUUAAAGAAAAAUGAUCUGAAAAGUAAAGGGAUAAGAAAUAAAUUUUUAAUUUCUGACAAAUAUAGAGUGGCAUUAUAGGAUGAUUUCUAUCACUCUGCAUGAGAAUAUUAAUUAAUUGACCUAAAACUUAUGAGAGGUAUUUGAUUGCGAAUAUGUUUGUGAAUAGUUUCCCAAUUAUAAAUUAUUUUCUGUUGAAGUAAUUUUGUGAAUAUAACAAAAGAUUAUUCAUGAGAGAGCUUUUCAUUGUUUCACAUGACUGUUAACACGGUUUGUUCAAAUAAUUUAUUAAUAAUAAACUCAUUAAUAAUUGAUCAUUUAAGAUCAGAAGAAAAUUGUUAUUCAAUCUAAUUUCCAUAUUUAUGAAUUAGGAAAUAUUAGCUAUUUAUAUUAAUCUGUCUUUCAUAUUAAAGAUGAAAUUAUCCAUUGAUAUAUUGUACAGUUUCUUUUUUACCAUAAUAUGUUUUCAACAUGGACUUUGUAGCAGGUUAUGUAAAUCUUAAAUUUGAACUAAAUGGUAAAGGACUGUGCUUGCUAACAUGAUAAUAGUAGACCAUGAUACUUUCCCUUUUCUCUUUUGUAGUUCCUGCAUGAAUUUUUUUUUGUAGUUUACAGAUUCCUAAAAAUGUUGAUUUUACUUUAUGUAUAUGCCAUGAUAUUUUUAUGGGGGGAAAUGCAAUUCUUUAUGAAGUUAGGACAUAAAUAUAUGUAUGUAUAUGUGUACACACACACACAUAUAUACAGUUGUGAACUUUUUUCCUUUUUUUUUAGAGAGGCAGAUGUCUGAGCAAGAGAUGGCUGCAGCAGUUACCUCGUAUUUUAAUGAAAUAAAUCUGUAUUUACAGUUUGCAGUAAUUUAGUCCUUUCAUCACUCCGUGGAGCUCCCAUGGUGUUCAUUGAGUACAGCUGCUGGGCCUCUGGUUUUAGUACAUCUUUGUGCCUCAGGACCCCAGCAUGCUUAGCAUCCAGAUGUGGUGACAUAUUCACACACAUCCUCUGUGGAAAUGUGCCAGAGUGGACAUACGAUUGUCAUCAAUUAGUUAUGCCCAAGUGGUGCCAAGAAAAAUUGCAUCUGUCAUGCAGUCUGGCGGGUUUCAUGGCCCAUGAUUGAUUUAGAGACACUCCUGUUUUUCUUUACCUUGGCCAUAGCCAUAACAUGCUCACAAAGAGCUCAGAUUAUAUAAUGGAGCAUAUGACAUUUCAUCACAAGAACUCGUUUUAGAACGUCAUCAAAGUUCAUGGACUUAGCCUUUAUUUAGUAGCCAAAAUAUUAUUUCUUGAUUGUACAGAAUGGCUGUGCAGCUUGCCUCAUUUUACGUUUGGUCUCUGAAAGCAUUUUAUGACAAAAUUUUAGGAAACAAGAGGUCAAGCUUAUUUUCUCUUUACUUCCCAAUCUUUGUUUGAUUAUAUGAAUAUGAUAGCUUUUUAUUAUAAAGCAGAGAUAAUGUUAGAAAGGGAUGAAUGUUUUGUUUGCUUUUGUAAUUAAUCACUUCUUGAUUUUCUUUGUAUAAAUCAUUAUUGCUUGUAUUAUCACAGAGGUCUUUUGAAUUAUGAAAAUACUUUUAAUCUUUUUUUAUUGACAUUAUGAUUGCAUGUUAAUAAUUUAUAAAUAGGGAUUUAUUAUUAUGGGAACUUAAAGAAUAAAAAUGCUUCAGAAAGCUUAUGGAAAUGGGAAUCAAUCAUAAAUGUAUUUUGGUACAAAGAAAUUUUGAAAUCCAUGCAUAGUUUUUUCAUAAUUUGUAUUUCCAUAAACUUCUUGAAGAUUGCACAUAUGCUUGGAUUUCAAAAUUUUUUGCAAGAAAUAAUAUUUUUCUUUUUUUAAAAGUUAAUUACUUCCUUAGAAUUUAUAUAUUUAUUCAAUUUAUUUGAAAGACAGAGAUAGGGAUAGGAUAGAGAUAGAGAACAUGCCCCCAUCCACUGUUCACUCUCCAGGUGCCCACAGUAGUCAUGGCUAGAUGGGCCAAGGCCAGGAACCUGAAACUCAGUCUGGAGUAAAUCAGUACCCAAGUAAAUGGUAGGGACCUACCUACCUGAGCUAUUACCUAUUGUCUCACAGAACAGUCAUUCAGCAGGAAGUUGGAAUUGGAAUCAGGGCUGGGAUGGGAUGCAUUUGUACCAAGUGGUACUUUAACUGUUAUGCCAAACCUCCACCGUGAAACUUAUCUUAGUUCCAUUUUCCAUGAACCUUUUGUAGUUAGCUUGUACAAUAAUGUGUAAGCCUAGUUGAUGCUCUCAAAAGCUUAUAGCUAUAAAGAAAACCAAUCUAUAAACACACACAUCAAUGAAUGAAUUAUUUAAUGUGGUAGUGUGCUAAUAAAAAUACAAAUAGUGUAGAAAUAGGUUAACGAUGUUAAAGAGAGUUGUAAUUAGCUGCCCAGGUAUAUCUGGUAUAUUUUAAAUGUUUUAUACUACUCAUAAUAUGAAUUUUAUAUGGCUCUAAGAAGUCUCUCUCUCUCUCUCUCUCUCUCUCUCUCUCUGUAUAUAUGUAUUUCAUCCUCUAUCCAAACUCAUCUAAUUGCCUUUGAUAUUUGCAGUUUAAAUUUUUAUAUUCUUGUACAACAUAUAUAUAGGUUUAAAUAUGUUAUUUUUAUGAAGAAAUCAAUACUUUGAAGAUGCUUGAAGAUGCUAUUUUGUACAUCUAGUCAGAUUUGUCUGUGUUUCAUGGAUUUCAUGUGAUUCAAGUAAACAAAGUUUAGCUUUCUUGUAUUUGUUAUGUUUUGGAUGGAAGAAGAUCCAAGGCGUGCACAUUUGUAAAGCAAUAAAGGCACAGGCUUCUGAAGAGACUAUAAAAUAGAUGAGAUUGAAAAGCUGGCAUAGUUUUUGAGCAGAAAAAUAGACAGUGUUUAGCAGUUUCCUGUCAGCUUUGUAGUGCUUUUAUUUUUUAGACAUGACUGUCCAAAUCAAUGACCAUUUGAUGAACAAAUAAUUUUAUAGUACUUCGGGUACAUACUAUUCCCUGACCUGGGGAUGCAUCUUUGACUACAACAAAUCAGAAUUCCUAGUCUUGUAGAGCUUACAUUGACUGGUGGAUUAGUUAAUAGGCUUCAGAAUAUUCUGCAUUGAAAAUACUGAUCACCCCGUUGUGUGAUGCAGAUGCUAAUUCGUAAGAGAACAGCUAUAGAUUAUUGCAUCAGAAUUUCAUAGUUACGGCUGGUACUUUUUGGCAAUGGAUUAGCCAGUGCUUUCAGUUUUUUCAAAGAAUAUGAUGUGCUUUUUUGUACUUUGCACUGAGCCCACCUUCUUGAAAAACAUGGUAUCAGGAGGGUGGAUGUGAUUGGAUAAUUUGUAAAAUUGGGUUAACAAGUGAAAUUGGUGGAAGAGAAUAAAGAAAGUAUGUGUGUUCAGUUAGUCUACACAUUUGUUUAAUCUAUUGUAUAGCACUGCCAGGAAUCCCCCAAAUCAAAGUUUCUGAUUUGUUCCCAGCAAGUGACAAUCUUCAUUCCAGGUAUUUUUGCUUUAAAUAUCCACAGCAUAUUGGUAUGGUGGAAAGAACAGAAGGCUAUCGUAAAAGCCUAUACUUUAGGUGCUCUAGAAGGUCUGUUCCAGCCAUACCAUUCUAGGACCUGCUCCAUACAAACUCGUCAUAGGCAUGCCAAUGGCCUGAGGAAGAAACUCUCACUAUUGCUGAAACCAGUGUCUCUAACCAUUAGGGUGAUUUUUGACUUCUAGUUCUGGUAUUGGUUAUGAUAUGCUCUUUGAGCUUAGUGUCUUCAAAGACAUUCAUGUGAAAUGACAGAAUAUAAAUAAAUAAAAUCUUUCUUCCCAUUUCAUAUUCAAAUUCUGUAGUAUCUGUCUUUUAAUUUUCAUUUUAUGAUGCACAUUAGCCAAUGCAUUCCCAGAGCCAUUCGACAACAUCAUUAAAGUUAUUCAAGCAGAAAAAUCAAAUCAUGGAUAAUUUUAACUGAAUCUCUAAAAUAUGCCAGAAUAUAAUAUUCUACAACAUUAGUCACCAAUUGAAUUUUAGAUUUUCUUCUGAUAUCAUUCCUCAUAGUCUUGUGCUUUUGAAAUAAAAACAGUAUCAGUACAGUUUCAUGCAGUAUCAUACAGUUUCUACUCUGGGCCUGGUAGCUGGAUUUGGUUCAGUGAUGGAAAAGCCAGAUUGGGCCCAAUGUGUAAUUAGUGUCCUUGGAGUGUGGCAUGUAGUGUUGUGACAUGUUCUGUGGAGGACUGCAUUGCUGUUUGCAUUGGAUCAUUUAACCUGAUCCUCUUUAGAUGACAUCUCUCAUCUCUCUGGGUGUCCUCUGUGUCUCAGGCCACUUGUAUAGAUGGAAAAUGUGACUGUAGCCUGUCAGACAUUUCCUCAUUCACUUUCAUAGAACAGGCUGUAUUAUUCUGUAUUAAAAAAAAAAAAACUGUACCUCUGAAAGUGAAUGAGGAAAUGUUUUUUUUAAGGUCUUUGACUUUCUUUUCUUUUUUUUUAUUUUUUAAACUUUUAUUUAAUGAAUAUAAAUUUCCAAAGUACGGCUUAUGGAUUACAAUGGCUUCCCCCCCAUAACGUCCUUCCCAUCCACAACCCUGCCCCUUCCCACUCCCUCUCCCCUUCCAUUCACAUCAAGAUUCAUUUUCGAUUCUCUUUAUACAGAAGAUCAGUUUAGCAUACAUUAAGUAAAGAUUUCAACAGUUUGCUCCCACACAGAAACAUAAAGUGAAAAAUACUGUUUGAGUACUAGUUAUAGCAUUAAAUCUCAAUGUACAGGGCCAGCGCCACGGCUCACUAGGCUAAUCCUCCGCCUGGCAGCGCCGGCACACUGGGUUCUAGUCCCGGUUGGGGUGCCGGAUUCUGUCCCGGUUGCCCCUCUUCCAGGCCAGCUCUCUGCUGUGGCCAGGGAGUGCAGUGGAGGAUGGCCCAAAUGCUUGGGCCCUGCACCCCAUGGGAGACCAGGAAAAGCACCUGGCUCCUGGCUCCUGCCAUCGGAUCAGCGCGGUGUGCCGGCCGCAGCGCGCCGGCCGCGGCGGCCAUUGGAGGGUGAACCAACGGCAAAAGAAGACCUUCCUCUCUGUCUCUCUCACUGUCCACUCUGCCUGUCAAAAAAAAAAAAAAAAAAAAAAAAAAGAAAGAAAGAAAAUAAAAAAAUAAAAAAAUAAAAAAAAUAAAU
Molecule: non-coding RNA, 7507 nt
Organism: Oryctolagus cuniculus (rabbit)
Lineage: Eukaryota; Metazoa; Chordata; Mammalia; Lagomorpha; Leporidae
Source: RefSeq, a predicted model, not a curated record